AGAGAGAGACAUGCGCGCAUAUCAAUAAGCGGAGGAAAAGAAACUAACAAGGAUUCCCUUAGUAACGGCGAGUGAAGCGGGAAGAGCUCAAAUUUGGAAUCUUCAAGGUUCUACCUUGACGAAUUGUAGUUUAUAGAAGUGUUUUCUGUUAGUGGAGUGGCAAAAGUUCUUUGGAAUAGGACAUCAUAGAGGGUGAGAAUCCCGUAUUUGGUCAUUCCUCCUAGCGUUGUGAUACACUUUCAACGAGUCGGAUUGUUUGGGAAUGCAGUCCAAAAUGGGUGGUAAAUUUCAUCUAAAGCUAAAUAUUGGCGAGAGACCGAUAGCGAACAAGUACCGUGAGGGAAAGAUGAAAAGAACUUUGAAAAGAGAGUUAAACAGUACGUGAAAUUGUCAAAAGGGAAGCGUUUGACACCAGUGUUGUUUUUCCGAAAAUCAAUUACGAAUGUUUUAGUUUUUGAGGAGUUAUGACUUCAUCGGCUUGCUCCUUUCUUUAUGAAACUUUCUUAAUGCACUUUUCGGUUAACAAGUCAACAUCAAUUUCUUUUGUUGUAAAAGGGUAUGAGGAAGGUGGCUUUCUCUUCGGCGCAAGUGUUUAUAGCCUUGUAGCCUAUGCAAUCGGAGAGAGUUGAGGUCUGCAGCGUAGAUCCUUCGGGGUUAGAUACGUUUGUGCUAAGCUAUAGCCUUGUAUAGACAACUUGUUGACUAUGCUCUAGUCAUGUAGCUUACUCGCUGAUGCUAUUUUACCUACGCUUAGGAUGUUGAUAGUCACAGCGUGUAC
RNAcentral lists this ribosomal RNA (778 nucleotides) under uncultured Neocallimastigales. Its description in RNAcentral is "partial large subunit ribosomal RNA". It matches the Rfam family "Eukaryotic large subunit ribosomal RNA", at positions 23 to 644 of the family's 3401-position model. Lineage: Eukaryota; Fungi; Neocallimastigomycota; Neocallimastigomycetes; Neocallimastigales. The record is from RNAcentral.